CAGGACCAGUGCAAUGGACAUCUUGCCACAACGUAAGCUGCACAUGUGUCUGUCACUUUGCAGGCUAGGUGAGCCGAGAGGAAAAACAACAUGGCAUGAGUCUGCAUGAACAGAGUUCUUGUCCCUGGAUGGAGCGGUUGUGGGUAUAGCUAUUUGGUUUCAAGUGUGACUCCAGCAAGGAGUGAGUUUACGGAUGACCACUUAUUUAUUGCAAAUAACUGUAUUUGCGUUUUAUAAUUCUGCAUUCUCACUAGAGGACUUGGAUGCAGAGAUGUAUAGCUGGAAAAACAUCCAAUUAAAGGCUGAGGGGAAAGCAUUGCCUGUGAAUUAUUUCCUCUAAAGUUCCAAAGUUCCUUCAGACUUCCGGUAAAGAUGGCCAACUGAGAUAAUUGGGAAAGUCCCCUUCUACUACAAAAAUAACAAAAACAUGAAAGUCCACAGAUGAGCUGGAGGGCUGGAAAAGGAAGAUCUCUAGGUGCCGAAACAAGAAGCCAGAGUUGGAGCAGAAGAAGGCCUGGGGACUCUGGGUUAAGGCGUCUACCGUGAAUAACUGCAUUGAGAGGGA
Molecule: long non-coding RNA, 565 nt
Filed under: Rhinopithecus bieti (black snub-nosed monkey)
Lineage: Eukaryota; Metazoa; Chordata; Mammalia; Primates; Cercopithecidae
Description: lncRNA (ENSRBIG00000046389.1)
Source: RNAcentral